GCUGAGAGAUAAAAUUUGGAUACAGGUUUAGCCUAAAUCUCUUAUCUCUCAUACCCAGCCCUAAUUCCAGCCCCAAAUCUCUCAUACCACGCCAUCGAGAGCGGCGUCACUUUCCUCGACACCAGCCUCCUUCCCUUGUACUCUCCUCCAAAAUUGCACCCUUUGCUCUUUAUACCCUCUUUGUUUCUGUAUACCCUUUCGAAGAAGGAGAAGAAGAAGCUCAACAACUUCAUCAAUGGCUUCUACUAGCUGCAACGACAAUGGCCUAUCUCCUCGCCCGAAAUGGUAAAGCCCAUCAAACCCCAAUUUCUCUUUUACCUCCAUUUAAUCAAUUUUUCAUCUCAACCCAACAUUUCUUCUGAUUUUGGAUUCACUUCUUCAACAAUUAGUGUCCUUUCGUAUUACCCUGAAGAACAAUUUAAAAUCUUCAAAUUGUUUUGGAUUUUCAUGAAAUUUACUCUGAGCAGGUUUUAGUUUUGGAUUGAUUUGUGUUUAAAUCAUUUUUUUGUUGUCAAUUUAUUCAGUUCAGGCUGUGAUUAAUUAAUUCGAAUUGGCUGGGAAGGAACCACAAGGUUACCGAGCGUCAGCUCGAAGAUGCCUUUGUCCGUUUUGGCAAAAUUAUCGAUGCUCAGGUCCCCUCUUUUCUUCAUUUUUUAGUUUUUACUUUUUAUAUCUUGGAUGAUUAUUAUACUUCUCCUUUUCUGGUUGGUUAAUGCGUAUAAUUGGAAUUUGGUUUUUAUGUUCAUAAUUGUGCAUCAAUCCUACAAAGAUCGAAUGAUUCCUGUUUUAUCCCCUCAAAUUUUUGAGGAAAAAGUUUAAUAGAAAAUAUUAUAUCUGGGUUUAUUUAUUCUGUGAUUGAUGUGUGUGUAUAUAUAUAGAUAUUUAUGGGUAAAAGUAUGAACUCUGCUUCAUUUUUGAGAGCAUAAAUGAUUAUAAUUAAGCUGAAAAUUGAAAUCUUGUUUAGUCUUUUUACCCCACUUUUUGUUUUUUGUUUUUUUUAACUCAGUAAAAUUUCAAAUUUCAAUUUUUUAGAUUAUUUGUGAUUAUUAAUUUUCAUUUUUUGUAGAGAAAUCAGAUGAGAUAAAUGAAUGAAAUUUGGGCUUGUGUUAUUUUAUUGUUAAAAAUUGGAGAACUGUGAACCUGCAUGGCUUUCAUAGUAACCUGCAUGACAUAAGGACUUUAUUGUAUUUUCAUUUGUAAAUGUAUGAGAUUCGUACUAAAGUGUAUGAUGAAUACACUUUGUGUUUUGUAUAUGUUAUGUUGAGUUAGUAUAUGUGCCUAUGUGGUUCUGUUUUCUAUUAUUCUUUUUGUCUCUCUUUUCUUUUUCUCCAUCGCUGAUUGAUAUAUUAAUUAUCUCUCUUUGUUUGUGAUUUUUUUGGAAUGCUGGUAUGAGCUCAGUGUUAUUUGUUGGUAAUGUUGAGAUUCUAAGUUUUGAAGCAACUUAUCUAUGGAGAUGGUCUCUAUAUGUCUGAAAAGGCAGAUUGAGCUGAAGGCCAGAUUCAUCAGAGUCUGUUCAAUCGGAACAGUUCUUUCAUUUUAUAAUAGGAUCUGUGGUUUUGGCAUCCAUUAGGAAAGACCUGUUAUAAGAUUGGACCUCCAAUGCUGGGUGAAGGUGGCUAAUCAGUAAGACAUGUGCUGUAGAUAACUUCCAAGUAACUUUUCCCUUUUCAACUCUUCUAAAAACAGUUCAUUGAAAAGAAGUGAAGUGGUUUGAAUGAUCCAGAGCUGAACCUAAGUUGGGCAUUGUUGAUCGUGUCAUCUGAAGCUAAAUAUAAAUCAAUUAAUAGUUGUAAAGGUUCUCUGUAAAGAGUCUAGGAGGUAUCAUAAAUUCUUUGAAGGUAUGUAAUGUUAUCGGCAUGCACAGUCUUCAACAAGACUGCUGCAUCAUUUUUUGAUAAUUGGGCAAAAAGCACUUUUAACCGCCUGUGGUCGUCGACUUGUAAGCAAUUGGUCACUGAACUUUAAAAAAUUGCAAUUAGACCACUGUGCUUUCUAAAAUAAUUAAUUUUAAAAAUAAAAAUAAAAUAAUUAAUUUUAAAAUAAAAUAAUUAAAAUAAUAAAAUUAAAAUAAAUAUUUGGAAUUAAUGAUUACUAAUUAAUCAUUAACUUGUAAAAUGAUUAUUUUAUUUUUAUUUUAAAAAUUAAUUAUUAAUCAUUUCGGUUAAAAAAAUCAUUAACUUGUAAAAAAAUCAUUUUUGCCACAUAAAAAAAUUCUGUUUUUGUUUUUAAAAAAUUAUAUUUUUACAAAAUUCUAUUUUUAAAAAUUUUGUUUUUAAAAACAAAAAGAGAAAUUUUUUUAACUUGUAAAAUAAAAUUUUGUUUUUAAAAAAUUUUGUUUUAAAAAAAAAUCUGUUUUUUAAAAUUCUGUUUUUUUAAAAUUCUGUUUUAAAAAAAAUCUAUUUUUAAAAACAAAAACAGAAUUUUUUUUAUGUGGCAAAAAUGAUUUUUUUUACAAGUUAAUGAUUUUUUUAACCGGAAUGAUUAAUAAUUAAUUUUAAAAAUAAAAAUAAAAUAAUCAUUUUACAAGUUAAUGAUUAAUUAUUAAUCAUUAAUUCCAAAUAUUUAUUUUAAUUAUUUUAUUUUAAAAUUAAUUAUUUUAUUUUUAUUUUUAAAAUUAAUUAUUUUAUUUUAAAAUGAAUUAAUUAUUAUUUAUUUUAAUUUUAUUAUUAUUUUAAUCAUUUUUUGCCACAUAAUCAAUGAUUUUUUUUUUAUUUUUUUUUAUAUUGCCACAUAAGAAAAUAAUAAUAUUUUGAUUUUUUUUUUCAAUUCCACGUGUGUAAUUAUUUGAUUUCCGUCCAAGAAAUUGGACGAAAUGGUCUGAAUUUUCAGUUUUAGAAGCAUAGUGGUCCAAUUGCAUAUUUUUAAAGUUCAGUGGCCAAUUGCUUACAAGUCGACGACCACAGGCGGGUAAAGAUGCUUUUUGCCUUGAUAAUUGAUUAAUCCAUUCUUGCAACGUCAAGAGGCAGGCAUAAAUCUGUUGCACGAUGCCAAAUUGGUCAGUCAAUUAACUAAUAUACUAGGUAAAGGCAUAAACGUAACCAUAUAUAAUGGACAGUUAUGCAAUUUUAUCUCUUUAUAUCAUAUGUAUUGUUAAACUGAUGGAAUUUGGACUGAUUUAUGAGAAUUAGUAAUUACCUAGAAAUCGAUCGCGACAAAUCUGUAAUUACUUCAAUCAUCACUCAAUAUCCUAAAUUGAUGUUUUUAUUUUUUGAUUUUGAUUAUCUGAUUUUGUUAUCUAAAUCUAUGAUCAAUUAAACAGGUUGAGGUCAGAUUCAAAUCCUCCUUGUUUCUCCCUCUAUAUCUAGCUAUAAAUACACAUAUGAGUUAUGACUGUAUUUUUUUUGUAAGUAUGCAGAUUUACAAUGUUUGUUUUAUGUAAUACGCAGACGCAAGUCCACUGCAGUGACAACAACUGCUGUACAACGGGAAGGAGAUAAGGAAUACUGAGAGACUGAGUGCUCUUGGUUUAUCUGAAGGAGAUUUAGUUAUGAUGGUUUCAAAUUCUUCUUCUUCUAGGUAUUAUAAUUUGCAAUUUCAUAUUUUCUUAUUUUCAGUAUUAUCAGCUAAAUGUUGUACAAUAUAACCCGGGAAUACCAAAUACCAAAACACUGAAACCAAACACUUUAAAAUUUUUAGUUUUCAAAGACAUUCAUAAAAAUAGUUACUCCUCCUUUGUUUUAGGGUAUGAUAUUGAGGGCAUCUUAUUUUAAUUCUGGGAAUAACUGUCUUUUAUGUUCAAGUUGAACUUAAAAAUUGUCAUAACAUUUAGCAAAAAAAUAAAAAUAAAUUGUUACAACCUCAUUCAUAAUAAUUUGUUAUAAAUUUCAAUAUAAAAAAUACUAGAUUUAUAUUAUUAACAAUUAAUAAAAAGCAAUUUUUUUGUGAAUAAAUAUGUUCAAUACAUUGCCCCUUCUAAAUACCUGUAUAAAGAAGCCGGAAGGUAGCAACUACAGAGCGCCGGUCCCUUUUCCUACAUUUUCUCUCCAAAAAUACCGAUUUAUUUUUCCCGGAGAGAGAAAAUAUGAGUUCUGUGAACCAUAAAUGCGAAAAUUCUACGGACCAGAGGUUCCUCUCUCUCUCUCUCAUGUUUUGGCUAUGUACCCACAUAUAUUUGUUGAAUUAGGAGUUAAUAUUCAAUGGGUUCACUUGUGAAUUUAUGAGGGGAAGAAGUAAGUACCUCUUUUGGUUUGUAAAAAAAGAUAGGCUGUUGCAAAAUGCAAAACCCACUAGAAGAUUAACUUGAAAUCAACUAAGGUAGAUUGAUUGCAAUCUUUUGGUAAAAUGUGUUUUUUUUGUUUGUGUGUGUCCUCUACCAGCAAAAAGGUUAUCAUUAAUCUUAUUUUAAAUUGGAUUACUACACAAUUGUAUUUUCUUCAAUGCAAAAUUUUGGGGGACUUUCUUAGAGAAUUACUAUCUUAUAUAUUACAGUCACUACUUGGGAUUAUGUAAUUACAAGUGGAACUUUUGUAUUAUGUUCUUAGCAGCUAAUUCAUAGAAGAUGUGGGGUUUACUGGCUAAAAUUUAAUUUAAUUUAUGUUAAUUCGUUAGCAUUUGUUUGAGUACUUCUAUUGCCUCUAAGUGAAUGGAAUAAACUAUGAUUUUUUUUAUUUGAAUAACUAAACGAAGGUUGUCGUGAAAACCUGAUAGUACUUUCAAAUUGCUUACAUUAACCUACAAACUUUACAUAUACAUCUUAAACAAAUGCAUAUUGUAAUCGGCUAAUCGCAUUGUUUUUAUUUAUUUUUUAUAUAGAUAUAUGUAUUCUGGCUAUACAAUAUUAUUUAUUGACUUGAGUUGUGCAUGUGGUGUAGGGGAAAGCAGAUGUUGUCUUUAAGACGCUUGAAGUAGAUUCAACUUUGAACUUGCAAGUAAAAAUUGAAAAUCAUUAAAUUCAUGAAACUUUCCUAUCAGUUUCUGUGAAAUUUGAAUAUUAAGAUUUUGCUUCAUAUGAUAAAACAGGAUGUGCAAGGACUUGGUAUCGAUUUUUGUGUUUGGUAUCGGUGUUUUGGAAUUUGGUAUCGGUGUUCGGUAUUUGGUGUUGGGUAUCUAUCUAUAUCUAUAUAAUAAAAUAUAACCAAAUUUCAAUUUAUUCCCACUUUAAAAUUUGAGAAACCACAAUAGUGGCUCAGAUUUAAUCUCAAUUCAUCUGACUUAAUCUAAAGGCUCAAAUUUCAUUUCACACAAAAACAAAAAAUAAAAACCGCCCAAAUCAUAACCCCACCUACACUACCCAAGUCCCGCCUCCUUCCCUUGUACUCUACCCAAGUCAUGCCUCCUUCCCUUCUAAUUACACCCUCUGCUCUGUAUACCCUUCCAAAAACUAUUCCCUCCCCUCUUUGUCUCUUUCUUUCGGAUUGAGGUAACGCCACCCUCUGCUUUGUAUACCCUUUCGAAGAAAGAGAAGAAGCUCAACAACUUCAUCAAUGGCUUCUACUAGCUGGAACGAUUCAUGAACUCACUCCUUGCCCGAAAUGAUAAAACCCCUCAAAACCCAAUUUCUCUUUUACCUCCAUAGGCUUUUUCAUCUCAACCCAACAUUUCUUCUUAUUUUGUAUCUGAAAUCUGAUUUUAUAUGCUAAUCAUUUAGUUUGAAAAAAAAGUGAUUUAAAAUAUUUGGGCGAGAAUUGAAGGGGAAAGGAUUAGCUAAUCACCAUCAAAUUGAAUUCACAGUGUUGUUGACAAUUAGUACACUAAUACUCGACGACACUUGAAUCCAAUAUAUUUGAUAAUCAGACUCUGUUUCAGUUCAAGUAUAUACCAUCAUUCUUCUCUUUGAUUUGGAUUUAUCUUUCAAUGUAAUCAAUCUAUUAUGUAUGUUUAUAUUUAUGAAAAGCAAUUCAUUUGUUGCAUCAUUCAUUUGUUAUAUUUGGUGUUUCUAUUGGUGGGUUUUUUGAAGUUGGAUUUGGGAAUUGGUAAUUACUUGCUGCUUCACUGGGGGUUUUCAGAUUACUGUUUGUGAUAUUUUAGGUAAAUGUAUGUGGUUUAUUUAAGAAGGUGAAGUUUGAAUUGCACGGAUGAUGUAUUUGAUACUUGAAUUUUUUUGGGAAUUAGUGACUGGGGUUUAUGGGUUGGUGUUUGGAUUAUGAUUUGGUAAUAUUUUAGGUAAAUGUUGUUUAUUUAAGAAGUUAAAGUGUUGUAUUGUAUUAAAAGUACUUAAUUCUCGAAUGUUUUGUGGGGGUUCUUGAAUGUUUUGUGGGGGUUCAUGAAUUGAAGUUAGUUAGAUUUUAAUUUAGUGACUUUAAGGUGUCUACUUAAUUGGGAUGCGAAUGAUUAAGAAUGCUUUUAUUUAAGAAAGGGUAGGCAUCAUGCUUUUAAAUUUGAGUGUGAUACAUACUAUAACGGAGUUUGAUUACCGAAUUGAAAGAGUAAUACUCUAGGAAAGGGUAAAAUGCAAAUGUGACCACUGAACUUUUUUUGGGUAUUGAGCCUUUUUCUUUUGGUCAACGCAAACUGAGCCCGUUUUUGUUACAAAAUUUGGAUAUUGAACCCCUAGGUGCCACAUGUGCGUUGACCGAUGACGUGUCACACGUGGCGCCUACGUGGCAAAUCUGACAUGGAUAUUUUAUAUUUUAAUUUUACACAUCAGCAACGCUGACGUGGCUUCUUUUGAAAUUUUUCUAAAAAUUUGUCUAUCCACUGAUUCGAACUCAUAACCUCACAGUUAAAACUUUAGUCAUACUACCGCUCGAACACCACAAGCCUAACUACUAACAUUUCGCAAAGAUUAAUCUUUAUAUCAAAAGAUUUCAUUUCUCCCCAAAAAAAAUUAAAAUACUGUAAUUCCUCCCUCCCUUCCUCCCCAAAACGCCGAACUCAGCACUUAACAAGAACUGGAAAAAAAUAAAAUAGGAAAAAGGAAUAAUAAUAAUUAUUAUUAUUAUUACUAUUAUAGUUAUUAUUAUUAUUAUUCUUAGUUGAGUCAUGCAAACCGAAAAUUUGGACCGUGGAUCCCAUACCCAAUAAAAUUAGUAAUAUAAUAUUAAUUUUUAAUAUAAUUAUUUCAUUGUUUCCUCUCAUCCUCUCACACAGCCUUAAAUAAUGAGAAUUGAUAUUUCUAAUAUCAAAUUUCCUUAUAAAAAUAUCAAUUCUAUCUUUACUUGUUAGCAUCUACUUGUUAUUAGCAUCUAGCAGCAACAACCAUACCAAAAGUAUAAUUUUUUCUAAAGAUUUGGUAAGGAUCAUCCGACUUGCGAUCCACCCGUAAUUUGUUGAUGGCAAUCAAAUUGCAGAUUGUAUUAAGGAAUUAGAGAUGGAAAUCCAUUUUCUCUGUCCAAAGCUUCAUAUCAUAUAUUAUAAAUUAUGUGGGUCUUCAUCCAAAACUUCUUUCCCCUCUCUGAAGCUUUUUCUCUCAAAUCAUACAAGCGGGUCUUCAUCUUCACCCAAUUAAACCAAAAAAACCUGUAUUUAUUUUAAAGAAGGAGAAAAAACAGAGCAAUUAAUCAUAUGUCCAAUCUGGCCGCCCUGACCUCGCAAUUAGGCUCGGUGACUUUCACAAUCAUCAAUCUUACACCAACAAAUUCAAUGCGAGAAUUAAAUACCCAAAUCACAAAUUUCAUAAUACAGAAUGGAGACUAACUCAGAAUCCCCAAACUACAGAACCCUAGAAGGAGAAGACGAAGACUCAGAAAAUUCCCCAAAUAAACGACCCAAAACCCUAACCCUAAAUUCACCUUCAUCCUCCAAAAUUGAAGACGAAUUGAACUUCCACAGCUGCGGAAUUUGCUUAUCGGAAGAGGGAAUCGAUAGCUGCGACCAUUACUUCUGCUUCGUAUGCUUCACCUUCAUCCCACAUGUGCAAGCGGCGGUUCGUCGCCAUUCGCCGCCCUCCUAAGGACGGCGUGUUUCCGGCCGAACGAAUUGUUAAUGUCCCGGUCUCUAUCUCAUUUCGUUCUUUCGAUCUUCAUCUGAGACUUAGCAGAUCCAAAAAAGUGGUUUAAUUUGAAUAAACAUCAUUCCUGAUGUCUUUGAUGUCUUUGAAUCUGGCCGGAUUGUUAUUGUUAUUAUUAUUAUUAUUACUAUUAUUAUUAUUAUUAUUAUUAUUAUUAUUAUUAUUAUUAUUAUUAUUAUUAUUUAAUUUGGGGGAAAUUCUUUGUUCGGUUAUAAAGUAUAAUUCUUGCGAAAAUAUAGUAGCUAACCCGUGGUGCUCGGGGUGGUCAAGUGGAUUGAAAUUUGAGUGGAAGGUCUGGAGAUCGAAUCUGAGCAACAACAAAUAUUUUGGGUUAAAGUACAAUAUGGGCCACGUCAUAUAUGCCACAUGUAAAAUAAAAAAAAAAAAAACCCAUGUCAGAUAUGCCACGUAAGCAAGUCAACGCAUAUCUGGCAAUAGGGGCUCGAAGUUUUAAUAGAAAAGGGCUCAAAAUGCGUUGACCAAAAGAAAAUGGCUCAAUACCCAAAAACCCCUAAAGUUCGGUGGUCAACCUUGCAUUUUACCCCUUUAGGAAAUGAUAAAAUAACACGCUUUAUUUAUGUGAGAGUUUGGUUGGUUGCUGCAAAGCCAAUAGAAAAAGGAAAUGAAAUUUUUACAGUCUACAUAUAUUGUCAAGGAUGUUAUCGAAUCAAAUUUAGUUGUGAUUCGAACUGUACAACAAUUUCUCGAGUUGACUAUUUAAUUUAAUUUGUUUUAUUAAUUGUAAAACAGUUGUUGAGUUGACUAUUUGGUCUUGGGACAUAUAUGUGUGUGUGCGCGCGCGCACAUUUGAUAAUCAGGUUGAAGGAAAAGGGAAAACGUGCACCAUUUCCAAAGGAUUGCGUGCAAAAGGGAAAUCAAUAUGAAAGAUAACCUUCAAAAAGUGCACCAUUUCCAAAAUUCUAUACAUGUAAAGAAAAUUAACAAUUUUAAAAGUAAUUUAGAUUUCAGCUUGACUGGAAAUUACGUGUUUCGACUAUCGUACAGUAAAAAGGUGUUGCCUUCAAGUCCCAAUUCACAUAUAGGUGGGUAUGAUACACAUGGAUUGAUAAUUUAUCAGAGGUUUUUUGGAUGAAAGUAGAAAUAUUGAUUUGAAGGAAUUUGUUUUCAGUUUUUUUGUUUUCUUUAAUUAACUUUUGAUGAUAAUUUAACUUGCUGCAUUUAAAGAGAGUCCACCUGAUAUGUAACUCUUUUCAUUCAUUAAAACUUGAAUGUUUGACUGGCUUAUAGGCUCUAUACACCUGCUGAAUAAAGCAAUGGAAAGAAAAACUGAAAGAACAUUUGGAGGAAAAGCUAUAGCACAAAUUGGUAGGAAAAUUUCAAAUAUAACUCAACAAAGACUUAUCCAUUUACUAGGGGUCAGCUUCACAUUUAACUCUUUGCAGUUAAGGAAGCGUUUUAGGGUAUGUAUAGUGGUAGGAAUUUAAUAUGACGAAGAAGCCGGAAGUUCGGAUGCAGUUUUUGGAUUCCUUUGAUUCUCUAUUAAUUCAUUCGGGUAUGUAUUAUUUCAUUUCAAGAAUUAUGGUUUCUUGAAUUUAUAUUUGGUUACUAAAAUCUCUGUAACCAUGGCCUUUCCUUAUGUCUGUUGUGUUAUCCCUGUCUCAUGUUUGUUCAAUGUUGAUGAUUCCUAUCGGGGCUUUGAAAUAGUUAGUGCCCACUCAAGGCCAUCUGUAUAUUGGGGUUGGGUAGCAUCUCAGAGAAUGAAUCGCUUUUUUUCCUCAUACUAAUAAAACAAUGGGAACUAUGUCAAAUUUUGAUUAAUUAGAUCAUAAUCAGGAAUUUCAAUAUGCUACUUGAACAAAGUAAAAACGGGAGGGAAAAAACAACCCUGUACGAGUCUAGAGCAGGGCUUUAACCAUGAUAAUUUUCCAAUUUUGGUUAGAAAUUCCUCUAAAAGCAUAAGCUCAUAUUAGCUAACCAUUUUGGUUCAUAUUAGCUAAGCAGUAGGUGUAAAUCCUUUGAACAUUAGUCUGCAACAACCACUAUCGUGAUAAAACCCAACUAACCAAGAUUUACCAAUACAUGAAAAAAUGAAGACAACCAAAACAGAUGCUAGUUUCUGUUUCAAGAGUAGUAAACAUGCUAAAAGCGUACUUCAUUUUUGUUUAGCCGAUUGAAGACAAUUGUACAUCUCAUUUUUGUUCAAGAACUUAACAAUACAAGAAAGCUAAGCACAAUUUGUGGGGAAACAUUAAUAAAAUAAUCUAAAUUUGCAGGCGAAGGAUCAGAACCAUAUCUGUAAAUUGACUACUUUACGAGAAGCACGUGUUCUAGUGACAACCCUUUUUUCUGGAUUGUAAAUAACAAAAUCAAGUGAGCUUCCGGCCUUCCACCUUACUUCUAUACAUUUGCUUAUUUAUUAGUAGUACAUACAGUUCACCAUGU
This 10291-nucleotide long non-coding RNA is filed under the name Panax ginseng (ginseng). RNAcentral describes it as "long non-coding RNA (PGIN_LNC018769)". The record is from RNAcentral. Lineage: Eukaryota; Viridiplantae; Streptophyta; Magnoliopsida; Apiales; Araliaceae.